Molecule: long non-coding RNA, 200 nt
Filed under: Elaeis guineensis (African oil palm)
Lineage: Eukaryota; Viridiplantae; Streptophyta; Magnoliopsida; Arecales; Arecaceae
Description: long non-coding RNA (EGUI_LNC080090)
Source: RNAcentral
AGGUCCUCCUCUUGUCUCUAAUGCGGCUGUAGGCGUACAUAUGGACAUUGCUGGGUCUCUCCCCCCAUCCGGUCUAGAGAACCGGGCCUUCGACUUUGCUCAAGUUAGGGCGAGGUUCUCCUCCUGUCCCUAACAGGGCUGUGGGGGCACAUAUGGGCAUUGCAGGGCCUCUCCCCCCAUCCGGUCUAAAGAGAACCGGG